CAGCAGUAGCCACGGUAAUACGAAGGGGGCUAGCGUUGUUCGGAAUUACUGGGCGUAAAGCGCACGUAGGCGGCUUGGUAAGUUAGAGGUGAAAGCCUGGAGCUCAACUCCAGAAUUGCCUUUAAGACUGCCGAGCUAGCAGGUGAGAGAGGUAAGUGGAAUUCCGAGUGUAGAGGUGAAAUUCGUAGAUAUUCGGAAGAACACCAGUGGCGAAGGCGGCUUACUGGCUCAUACUGGACGCUGAGGUGCGAAAGCGUGGGGAGCAAACAGGAUUAGAUACCCCAGUAGUCCCUGUCUCUUAUAC
Molecule: ribosomal RNA, 304 nt
Filed under: uncultured bacterium
Lineage: Bacteria
Description: partial 16S ribosomal RNA
Rfam family: Bacterial small subunit ribosomal RNA
Source: RNAcentral